Molecule: unclassified non-coding RNA, 138 nt
Filed under: soil metagenome
Description: partial internal transcribed spacer 1
Source: RNAcentral
CCUAGAGUUGUAGGCUUUGCCUGCUAUCUCUUACCCAUGUCUUUUGAGUACCUUCGUUUCCUCGGCGGGUCCGCCCGCCGAUUGGACAAUUUGAACCAUUUGCAGUUGCAAUCAGCGUCUGAAAAAACUUAAUAGUUA